This 74-nucleotide transfer RNA is filed under the name Bacillota bacterium. RNAcentral describes it as "tRNA-Gln". It matches the Rfam family "tRNA". From Rfam's summary of the family: Transfer RNA (tRNA) molecules are approximately 80 nucleotides in length. Their secondary structure includes four short double-helical elements and three loops (D, anti-codon, and T loops). The record is from RNAcentral. Lineage: Bacteria; Bacillati; Bacillota.
UGGGGCGUAGCCAAGCGGCAAGGCAAGUGGCUUUGGACCACUCAUCCCUGGUUCGAAUCCAGGCGCCCCAGCCA